RNAcentral lists this small nuclear RNA (164 nucleotides) under Erinaceus europaeus (western European hedgehog). RNAcentral's name for it is "U1 spliceosomal RNA". It matches the Rfam family "U1 spliceosomal RNA". Rfam says of the family: U1 is a small nuclear RNA (snRNA) component of the spliceosome (involved in pre-mRNA splicing). Its 5' end forms complementary base pairs with the 5' splice junction, thus defining the 5' donor site of an intron. Lineage: Eukaryota; Metazoa; Chordata; Mammalia; Eulipotyphla; Erinaceidae. The record is from Rfam by way of RNAcentral.
UAACUUACCUGGCAGGGGAGAUACCAUGAUCACGAAGGUGGUUUUCCCAGGGCGAGGCGUAUCCAUUGCACUCCGGAUGUGCUGACCCCUGCGAUUUCCCCAAAUGUGGGAAACUCGACUGCAUAAUUUGUGGUAGUGGGGGACUGCAUUUGAGCUCUCCCUUA